AGUUUAGCCAAGCGAAAAUGAGGAGGAGAGGCUUUGUCCCAGACAUUUUAGCCUGAGUCUCAAUGCCUCUUAUUGGCUCCAACAGAUCACAUGCCCAGCUCUGAGCCAAUCAACGUGGCCACAUCCAGGUCAGUUAUUACUGCCCCCGCCCCCUGCCGAGGAGACCGGCUGGAAACCCGGGGGCUGUUGGGUCUUUCCCCGGGAGAUGGGGAGAGAGGAUGCGGGGCAGCUGGCACCACGAUAGGAAGAAAGUCUCAUCACAAGGGAGCCCCAUGGAGAGGAAUGAGCACAGAAUUUGGAGUCAGAAGAGUGGAAGGCCUGGGCUUGGGGCCUGGCUGCACCGUGCCAGCUGGAUGGUUCUGGGAAAGCUGCCCAACUCUCUGCUUCGCAAUCCCCACAUCUGUCACUAGGGAUCACAUCUGCCUCACCGGAUCAGCUGAGAUAAGGCACGUGUGUAAAAGGCUGUACAAAUGUUAGUUACUAUAAGAUUGUCUCAAAAAAAUAAAACCCACAGCAAAGAGUAUCCCAAGG
Molecule: long non-coding RNA, 531 nt
Filed under: Rhinopithecus bieti (black snub-nosed monkey)
Lineage: Eukaryota; Metazoa; Chordata; Mammalia; Primates; Cercopithecidae
Description: lncRNA (ENSRBIG00000045994.1)
Source: RNAcentral